UCCCCCGUGGCGCAAUUGGCUAGCGCGUUCGACUGUUAAUCGAGAGGUUGAUAGUUCAAGCCUAUCCGAGGGAG
Molecule: transfer RNA, 74 nt
Filed under: Monilinia vaccinii-corymbosi
Lineage: Eukaryota; Fungi; Ascomycota; Leotiomycetes; Helotiales; Sclerotiniaceae
Description: tRNA-Asn
Rfam family: tRNA
About the family: Transfer RNA (tRNA) molecules are approximately 80 nucleotides in length. Their secondary structure includes four short double-helical elements and three loops (D, anti-codon, and T loops).
Source: RNAcentral